UACGUAGGGGGCAAGCGUUGUCCGGAAUCAUUGGGCGUAAAGAGCGUGUAGGCGGCUCGGUAAGUCCGCUGUGAAAGUCCAGGGCUCAACCCUGGAAUGCCGGUGGAAACUGUCGAGCUAGAGUCCGGAAGAGGCGAGUGGAAUUCCUGGUGUAGCGGUGAAAAUGCGCAGAUAUCAGGAGGAACACCGGUGGCGAAGACGGUCUCUGGGCCGAUGACUGACGCUGAGGAGCGAAAGCGUGGGGAGCGAACAGG
RNAcentral lists this ribosomal RNA (254 nucleotides) under uncultured bacterium. RNAcentral's name for it is "partial 16S ribosomal RNA". It matches the Rfam family "Bacterial small subunit ribosomal RNA", at positions 524 to 776 of the family's 1533-position model. The record is from RNAcentral.